CCUACGGGAGGCAGCAGUGGGGAAUCUUGCGCAAUGGGCGAAAGCCUGACGCAGCCAUGCCGCGUGAAUGAUGAAGGUCUUAGGAUUGUAAAAUUCUUUCACCGGGGACGAUAAUGACGGUACCCGGAGAAGAAGCCCCGGCUAACUUCGUGCCAGCAGCCGCGGUAAUACGAAGGGGGCUAGCGUUGCUCGGAAUUACUGGGCGUAAAGGGAGCGUAGGCGGAUAGUUUAGUCAGAGGUGAAAGCCCAGGGCUCAACCUUGGAAUUGCCUUUGAUACUGGCUAUCUUGAGUAUGGGAGAGGUUAGCGGAACUCCGAGUGUAGAGGUGAAAUUCGUAGAUAUUCGGAAGAACACCAGUGGCGAAGGCGGCUAACUGGCCCAUUACUGACGCUGAGGCUCGAAAGCGUGGGGAGCAAACAGGAUUAGAUACCCUGGUAGUCCACGCCGUAAACGAUGAGUGCUAGUUGUCGGCAUGCAUGCAUGUCGGUUGGUACGACGAGCGUAACGACAUUAAGUACACCUCCGCCGUCGGGGAGGUACGGGUCGGCGAAGAAGUUAAAACUUAACAAAUAGAAGUUAGUACGGCGUGAGACGUAGCCGAACGGACGACCGACGAGGGAGGUAGG
Molecule: ribosomal RNA, 626 nt
Filed under: uncultured bacterium
Lineage: Bacteria
Description: bacterial SSU rRNA
Rfam family: Bacterial small subunit ribosomal RNA (bases 1-524)
Source: RNAcentral